This 128-nucleotide ribosomal RNA is filed under the name Streptococcus pneumoniae. RNAcentral describes it as "partial 16S ribosomal RNA". It matches the Rfam family "Bacterial small subunit ribosomal RNA", at positions 1404 to 1533 of the family's 1533-position model. Lineage: Bacteria; Bacillati; Bacillota; Bacilli; Lactobacillales; Streptococcaceae. The record is from RNAcentral.
CCGAUCUUAACACCCGAAGUCGGUGGGGUAACCCUUACGGGAGCCAGCCGCCGAAGGUGGGACAGAUGAUUGGGGUGAAGUCGUAACAAGGUAGCCGUAUCGGAAGGUGCGGCUGGAUCACCUCCUUU